This is a long non-coding RNA of Sarcophilus harrisii (Tasmanian devil), 6107 nucleotides long. Lineage: Eukaryota; Metazoa; Chordata; Mammalia; Dasyuromorphia; Dasyuridae. The record is from Ensembl.
CAAUAAGUUGGCACAAGAGUUUAAAGUUCAGAGAAGGAAGAGAUAAGCAGAUUUUUUUCAAUGAUUUUAGUUUGACUUUAUAAGAUGUUACAUAACCUUUGUAUUCCUUGAUUAGAAAUGACCAUUACCUGAGUUCAGAUCCAACCUCAGACUCUUAACACUUACUAGCUGUAUGAUGCUGGGCAAGUCAUAACUCCAAUUGCCUCUCAAAAAAAAAAUCAAAAAGAAAAAAAAAUUACUUUUUAGGAUCAAAACUUUUUAGUUCACUGACAAACGAUAGCAUGCUAUGGAUAUGUUGUACUCUAAAGUGUAUGACAAGUCAUUUUUAAAAGUACAGAGCCAGUAGUUAUGGAAUUCUGACUCAUAAGCCUUUGACAUAAGUCCCACAGCCAAUCCAGGUUGAAAUUAUGCUGACAGAGGCCCUGCUUUCGGGGUUUGUCACAUUCCCUAUUGCCUUUAAGAACUCAAUGGGACAUAAGCUCUUCAAACUAACUACAGCCUCUCUUUCCAGACAGUUCACAUUAUCCCCCUUCAGACUCUAAGUUCCAGGCAAGCGAUUGUUUUCCAAGCCUGGUUCUUCAUCUGCCUCCUCUAAGUCUUUGGAUGUCAAAUACAAUCUUUCUUAAAAGCCUUAGAUUCCAAAGAGGCACAAGGUGGCACAGAUAGCCCACCAGCCUUGGAGUUAUAAGGAUCUCAGGUCAAAUAGGGCCUCAGACACUUGACAUUCACUAGCUGUGUGACCCUUGCCAAACUGCUUAAUCCUAAUCACUAAGCUCCCCCAUCCCCACGCCCCCCAAAAAGCCUUAAAUUCCUUCAGUCCUCAAUUCACAUGGGAAUGGGGAAGGGGAUUUUCCUAAUUCCCCCUUCUUGUUAUUACUCUUUCUUUCUUCAAAUUAUAUUAUGUAAUAGCCUUCUAUAGGACAGGGACUUUUCUUGUUCUGUUUUUAUAUCCCCAGAAAUUUAGCAUAAUUAUUUUUUUGAUCCAGAUCUGUGAUCUCACUGGUUAAAAGAACCUCCCAUCAAGGAAACUCUCUCUAUCAGUGUACAUCUGCUCUGCAACUUGUAAUUGCAGAGAAUUGCCUGGACCACAUCACAGGUUAAGUCAUACAACUAGUAUGUUUCAUGAGUGAGACUUGAACCUAGCAUUUGCACAUAGUAGGUGCUCGAAAAAUGCUUCACAAAUGAAUAAGUGACUAUUUCUCUGUCUAAUUUUUCUAGGAUUUCUGAAAGUUCUCCAUUUAUGAGAAGAAUAUGGCAGGUGUAUUGUCCUUAAAUUCUCCUAGGGCAGUCUGAAAGAAGGGAUUUAUGAGGUACUGUAUCUCCAGUCUGUCCCUUUCUUGACAUUUAUUGCCUUUUUGAUGAAUGUGAGAGCAAUUUUUCUGUCAACAACUUCUCAUUAGGAGCCCGGUGAUGUUCUUUCUGACCAUUAUUUUGUUCAGUAUCACAUUUGGUCACUGCAAAUAGGAGAGAUUCUACAUAGAGACUAUCCAUCUCUACAGCUGCAUAAAGUUCAAUAAUCCUGCUUAAAUACUCCCCCUAACAUGCUGACAGCUGCCUUGGAGCACUAACACAGAAUUUAGACAAAUGGCUACUCUUUAAUGAAUAGCUCAUCUUUCUGUAUCCCAUCUCUGUCAUUCUCUUAUAAAUAGAUUUUGGUUUCAAUUCUUUUUUUUUAAAUCAGUUAUAGAGAACUUGGUGAAAUAAUCACUAGGGCUUGCUUUUUGAGGACAGAUAAUAUAUAAGAAUGAUAAGUCUAACAUGAAGAAGGCUUGGGAUGACAAGCCAGAAAUGAAGGUAUAAGGCCUCCUUAAUGGACUGUUUGUUUCCUACUCUAAAUCUACCAUCUUAAAACAAUUAGGAUCUAGGAAAGGCAUUGAGAGGAAACUUAUUGAGCUUUUUUCCACUGGGCUUUUAAGAUUAAGCUCAAGGUUGAUAUUUUUCUCCUCCUGCUUUAUGCUGAAAGAUAAAAAUUAAAGAUUUAAAAGGAGCACAUACAUUAAGUGAGAGAAGACCAAUAUUUGAAUAAAUGACUUAUAGAAUAUAUUAAUGGAGUUAUGUUUUGCUGAGUCAAACUUUAUUGGUAAGAUCCACAAGGAUUUUAUUGUUUUCCUAUGAUAUACACUUAUGAAAACCUCCCAGCAGAAUCAAUAGAAAGAAGUUCAAAAUGGAAAGGAAAAAACAUGGGAUGGUUCUCAAUGAGAAUUGGUUCAAAUCCUGCCAGCUAUAAACUGCCCUACGAGGGUGGUGUAGUGGAUGAAGCCCUGGAUUUAAAGCCAAGAAAACUCGAGUUCCAAUCAGGUGUCAGACUACACAAAGCACUUAACUAUGUUGUGCUUCAGUUCCUUGAGAUAUAAAGUGAAGGAAUUGGACUUGGCCUCUAAGAUUUUUUUCAAUUCUAAAUCGAUCACCCUGUGAAAUAUAGGUCAGACGUUUCCACUAUCCCCACUAUUUGACAUAUUUAAAACUUAACUCUUGGUUCAAAAUGCAUAAGAUGAUUUUCAUUGGUGGAGAUUGAAUUCUCAGAGCUUAAAGGGCUUAAAGUAUUCAUCUGUGUAACAGGUGGAGCUGGUUAAGAGACAAAAUAAAACUGAGUGUCCUGGUUUUCGCUUCUGAGAGAGAAGAUGUGCUAUUUCAUUCUCUCUUCAUCUCCCUGAAAGGAGAUAAAGACUGAGAAGACAAUGAUAUAUAGAGGAGUUGAGAAUCAUUCUCAUGCCUCCAUCCCCAGUUUAUUACACCAGAGAUUUCAGGGGAUUUCCCUUUGAUAAGAUCUCUCUGUCUCUGUCUCUCCCACUCUGUCUCUGUUGUCUCUGUCUCUCUCCAUCUCUCUCUGUCUUUCUCUGCUUCUUUAUCUCUCUUUUUUCCCCUUUUUCUCCGAUUCUCUCUCUCUGUCUUUGUCCCUUUCUGUGUCUCUCUUUUUCUCCCUGUCUCUGUCUCUCUGUAUCUCUAUGUCUCUCUCUGUUUGUCUGUCUGUCUUUCUGUGUAUUUCUUUCUAUCAUUGUCAUCUAAUUCCCUGUGGGAGAAUUCAUUGAAACUUUAUUAUAUGGCAUAUAUUCUCCUAUAUAUGAUUUCUCUCAUUUCUAUUUGCUAUUUGUUUUGAUAAAUUAAUUUACUUAAUGUUUGUUCUAUGUGUUCUGGCAUCUAUAUAUCCACACAAUUGAUAUAUAGUUUGGGAAUCUCUUUUCUCAUUAGGAAAUUAUCAGAAAUUCAACCUCAAAUCUAAAAUUUAAUUCCCCUAGGCUAUAAUUUUUAAAGUAACAGAUAGAUAUAAUCCUAGCCCCAUACUCUGAGGAGAGCAAGAGGCCAGCUCUGCUUCCCUUACUGGUGUUAAAGUCUCUCUUGGAGAAAGAUAGAGGGAAAAGAUUAGAGAAUAUCUAUUCUUAGCUACUUGUGAGCCAUAUCUAAACAGAGCCAUGUGGACGUACAACCUAAAUAGGCAAAACAAACACAUCUUGCUCUCCCAAAACUAAAUAUAUACCUUAUGAUCAUGCUCUUAGUUUUAUUUUGUAUAGAGAUGAUUUUAAAAAUCAUUCAAAUAUCUUUAUUUGAAUUGAAAAAAAAACAGAAAAAUUCUAUUAAAGUCAGUCAAUUAGCAUUUAUGAUGUAACCUAUGAUGAGUUAGACAUUGCUGAUACAAAGAAAGUAUUACCUCCUUCCCCCCCCCAAAAAAAAAAUCAGGGAGCUUACAACUUGCAUUAAUUGUGCACAGAUUUAACAGUAUUUCAAGUAAUGAUUUUUUUCUUAUGUUAACAAAUAUUUUUUGCCUGAUAUCAUUUGAGGGAAUCAGUUCAUAUUUGGGCCAAAUGUAAUAAUCAUCAUUGAGAGGCAUUAUGGAAUAGUAGAAUGAGUGUCCAGUUUUAUGCUCCAGUUUUACUAUAUCUAUAGCUACUGUAUACUAGUAACUGUCAGGAGACUCAAUCCUAUUUCCUGAUCAUACUAAGUUACUUCCCUUACAACAUUAUAACCAGAAUGACUGUUAAAAUUAAAAGUGUAAAUAAAAAAUGCAUCACCCCUUGCAGGAUCUGUUCGUGAUUGGUCUUUUCCCAGAUAUUUGGGACCCACUUAUUCAAGAUUACAUUUGUCUAAGGCUCUAGUUUCCUUUGACCUCCUAUGAGCUCAGAAAUUUAAAGAGUUAUUUAAGGCAAUCUGUGCUCCUGGCAGAGUAGAUCAGCAGCUGAGUGGCCCUAAUAUGCUGAAUCAGAACAGGAGGGCUUUGUCAUAGAAUGACAUGUGAUUUUACUAUAUCCUUUGUUUGAACAUCCAUUUUUUGUGAGUGAGGAAAUUGGGGUUAAGUGACUUGCCCAGGGUCACACAGCUAAAGUAAGUUAUCCCUUCUUUCCUUCAUGAUUGAGGUUAAGUUACUUGCCCAGCUAGGAAGUGUUAAGUGUCUGAGACCAGAUUUGAACUCAGAUCUCCUUGACUUCAAGACCAGUACCCUAUCCACUAUACUAUCUACUUGCCCCUUGAACAUUCAUUUUUAAUGGAUUUCAUAGUAUGGGGAAGUGCCAGAGAGGAGACUGUCUCCCCAAAGUAACUCAGCACUGGCUCUGCACUUUAUUGUGUUAGAGUUGCCUUUGGCCCUGAGAGUUUAAGUGACUGAUCCAGAGUCACAUAGCCAGGAUUUGUGACAAGUGGGACUGCCCCUCUCAAUCAAUAACUAGGUGACUCAUCUAUGUAUAUUAACUAGAUAGUUCUCCAUUAAACCAAACAAUCCAAUCCAAGUACAUCCUGUGAUGACUCAGAUACUACAAAGCAUGCAUUGAGGUACAGUGGGAAAAUCCCUAGAUUUGAAGACAAAGGAACUGGCUUCAAAUCUGUUCUCUCAUUUACUACUGUGUGAUUUGGAGUUUUUUGAAUCUCAAUUUUCUCAUCUGUAAAAUGAGAGGAUCAUACUAUGAGCUUUCUAAGAUUUCUUCCAGAUCUAAAACUAAGAAUAUAUGAUUCGAAAACUAAACACAGUCCAUCAUCAAUUGUCUAUAUGACAAUUAUGAUGUCAUGAUCAACUAUGAUAGACUUAGCUCUUCUCAGUAACACAGUGAUCCAAGACAAUUCCAGGAGACUGGGGAUGCAAAAUGCCAUCCACAUUCUGAGAAAGAACUAUGGAGACUGGACGCAGAACAUAUUAUUUUCAUAAUUUUUUUCUUUCUUGUAGUUUUUCUCUUUUGUUCUGACUUUUCUUUCACAACAUGACUAAUGUAGAAAUGUUUAAUAUGAUUGUACUUGUGUAACCUAUAUCAGAUUACUUGCUGUCUUGGGGAGGAGGAAAGGAGGGAAGAAGAAAAAAUUUGAACUCAAAAACUUACAAAAAGGAAUGUUGAAAACUUUUACAUGUAAUUGGGGAAAAAAUAAAUUACUUAUAAUCAGUCACAGUUGUACCAAGAUAUGUAUAGACUAUUAAUUACUCUGUGCAAAGCUCAAUGUUUUAGAGAAGGGCAGGACAAGGUUUUUAGCUGAGAGCUUUCUGGAUAGGCUUAGUGAGACAUGUGCAAUGACUAAUCAAUCUGGAGUCUGCCCAAGGAAAAACUCCUCUGUUACCACUUUGUAUUUCUUAUCAGUAGCCAGUUCUGUCCUCUCUCUUCUGGAUUCCAAGUCUGCUUUGCUUUCAAGGCAUCUAAGAGAUGCAGUACAUAGAGCACUGGUUUUGGAAUCAGAAUUGUUGUUGAGUUGUAUACAACUCUUCAUGACCCCUUGGGGUUUUCUUGACAAAGACACUGAAGUGGCUUGUCAUUUCCUUCUCCAACUCAUUUUACAGGUGAGGAAACUGAGGCAAAUAGGAUUAAGUGGCUUAUUUAGGGUCACACAACCAGUAAGUAUCUGAGGCCAGAUUUAAAUUCAGGUCCUUUUGACUCCAGGGCCAAUACUCAUGCUCCCUCAAACACAGUCUCAGACAUUUGGGCAAGUCAUUUACUUUCUGUAUGCCCCAGUUUCCUCAGUCAUAAAAUAAGUAAUAACACCUAGCUCCAAAGGUAAAGAUCAAAUGAGGUAAUUGUAAAGCACUUAACACAGUGCCUGACAAUUAGUAGCUAUGUAAGAAAUGUUUUUUUUCCUUCCUUCUGAAAUUCCAUUCUACUUUUGAAAAAUGACCUUGUAUGCUCCAAGUCAUUAUUAAU